This is a small nucleolar RNA of Ornithorhynchus anatinus (platypus), 138 nucleotides long. The record is from RefSeq and is a predicted model, not a curated record. NCBI's taxonomy places the organism in Eukaryota, Metazoa, Chordata, Mammalia, Monotremata, Ornithorhynchidae.
GCCCUCUAAGGGUCGCACCUGGAGAGUUUCCAGUACUCUACCAGUCUCGAUUACGGGAGGAAGAGUGAAGCAGAGGCCUAGCCAUUCCAUUCCCAGCUUGGGCAGUGGCUAGUGAAUGGAAGGCCAUCUGCUACAAGU